RNAcentral lists this ribosomal RNA (549 nucleotides) under Photobacterium sp. MR09-93. RNAcentral describes it as "bacterial SSU rRNA". It matches the Rfam family "Bacterial small subunit ribosomal RNA", at positions 194 to 724 of the family's 1533-position model. Lineage: Bacteria; Pseudomonadati; Pseudomonadota; Gammaproteobacteria; Vibrionales; Vibrionaceae. The record is from RNAcentral.
CNUCGGAGCAAAGAGGGGGACCUUCGGGCCUCUCGCGNCANGAUUAGCCCAGGUGGGAUUAGCUAGUUGGUGGGGUAACGGCUCACCAAGGCGACGAUCCCUAGCUGGUCUGAGAGGAUGAUCAGCCACACUGGAACUGAGACACGGUCCAGACUCCUACGGGAGGCAGCAGUGGGGAAUAUUGCACAAUGGGGGAAACCCUGAUGCAGCCAUGCCGCGUGUGUGAAGAAGGCCUUCGGGUUGUAAAGCACUUUCAGUCGUGAGGAAGGGUGUGCAGUUAAUAGCUGUACAUUUUGACGUUAGCGACAGAAGAAGCACCGGCUAACUCCGUGCCAGCAGCCGCGGUAAUACGGAGGGUGCGAGCGUUAAUCGGAAUUACUGGGCGUAAAGCGCAUGCAGGCGGUCUGUUAAGCAAGAUGUGAAAGCCCGGGGCUCAACCUCGGAACAGCAUUUUGAACUGGCAGACUAGAGUCUUGUAGAGGGGGGUAGAAUUUCAGGUGUAGCGGUGAAAUGCGUAGAGAUCUGAAGGAAUACCGGUGGCGAAGGCGG